CCUACGGGGCGCAGCAGUGGGGAAUAUUGGACAAUGGGGGGAACCCUGAUCCAGCGACGCCGCGUGAGUGAAGAAGUAUUUCGGUAUGUAAAGCUCUAUCAGCAGGGACGAAAGAAAUGCCGGUACCUGACUAAGAAGACCCGGCUAACUACGUGCCAGCAGCCGCGGUAAUACGUAGGGGGCAAGCGUUAUCCGGAUUUACUGGGUGUAAAGGGAGCGUAGACGGCGAUGCAAGUCUGAAGUGAAAGGCGGGGGCCCAACCCCCGGACUGCUUUGGAAACUGUAUGGCUGGAGUGCAGGGGAGGUAAGUGGAAUUCCUAGUGUAGCGGUGAAAUGCGUAGAUAGUAGGAGGAACACCAGUGGCGAAGGCGGCUUACUGGACUGUAACUGACGUUGAGGCUCGAAAGCGUGGGGAGCAAACAGGAUUAGAUACCCGAGUAGUC
Molecule: ribosomal RNA, 443 nt
Filed under: uncultured bacterium
Lineage: Bacteria
Description: partial 16S ribosomal RNA
Rfam family: Bacterial small subunit ribosomal RNA
Source: RNAcentral